CCAAACUGUUGCCUCGGCGGGGUCACGCCCCGGGUGCGUAAAAGCCCCGGAACCAGGCGCCCGCCGGAGGAACCAACCAAACUCUUUCUGUAGUCCCCUCGCGGACGUAUUUCUUACAGCUCUGAGCAAAAAUUCAAAAUGAAUCAAAACUUUCAACAACGGAUCUCUUGGUUCUGGCAUCGAUGAAAAACGCAGCGAAAUGCGAUAAGUAAUGUGAAUUGCAGAAUUCAGUGAAUCAUCGAAUCUUUGAACGCACAUUGCGCCCGCCAGUAUUCUGGCGGGCAUGCCUGUCCGAGCGUCAUUUCAACCCUCGAACCCCUCCGGGGGAUCGGCGUUGGGGAUCGGGACCCCUCACCGGGUGCCGGCCCUGAAAUACAGUGGCGGUCUCGCCGCAGCCUCUCCUGCGCAGUAGUUUGCACAACUCGCACCGGGAGCGCGGCGCGUCCACGUCCGUAAAACACCCAACUUCUGAAAUGUUGACCUCGGAUCAGGUAGGAAUACCCGCUGAACUUAAACAUAUCAAUAAGCGGAGGAAGGA
RNAcentral lists this ribosomal RNA (538 nucleotides) under Trichoderma hamatum. RNAcentral describes it as "eukaryotic LSU rRNA". The stretch from base 148 to 301 matches the Rfam family "5.8S ribosomal RNA". The record is from RNAcentral. Lineage: Eukaryota; Fungi; Ascomycota; Sordariomycetes; Hypocreales; Hypocreaceae.